CGGUGUUUAACUGGCGUGAUGUGGGACGUCCUACCGGUGGGCUUAGCCUCGCGAGGGGCGGCCCAACUAAUAUCCCGUCGCGGUGCUCUUUACUGAGUGUCGAGUCGGGCCGGUACGUUUACUUUGAACAAAUUAGAGUGCUUAAAGCAGGCUAUCCUCGCCUGAAUACUGCGUGCAUGGAAUAAUGGAAUAGGACCUCGGUUCUAUUUUGUUGGUUUUCGGAACCCCGAGGUAAUGAUUAAUAGGGACAGAUGGGGGCAUUCGUAUUGCGACGUUAGAGGUGAAAUUCUUGGAUCGUCGCAAGACGGACAGAAGCGAAAGCAUUUGCCAAAAAUGUUUUCAUUAAUCAAGAACGAAAGUUAGAGGUUCGAAGGCGAUCAGAUACCGCCCUAGUUCUAACCAUAAACGAUGCCCAGCUAGCGAUCCGCCGAAGUUCCUCCGAUGACUCGGCGGGCAGCUUCCGGGAAACCAAAGCUUUUGGGUUCCGGGGGAAGUAUGGUUGCAAAGCUGAAACUUAAAGGAAUUGACGGAAGGGCACCACCAGGAGUGGAGCCUGCGGCUUAAUUUGACUCAACACGGGAAACCUCACCAGGCCCAGACACCGGAAGGAUUGACAGAUUGAUAGCUCUUUCUUGAUUCGGUGGGUGGUGGUGCAUGGGCCGUUCUUAGUUGGUGGAGCGAUUUGUCUGGUUAAUUCCGAUAACGAACGAGACUCUAGCCUGCUAAAUAGGCGUACCUUAUGGUAUCGCGAAGGCCCCCGGCUUCGGCCGGUGGGUUUUUACUACCAACGUACAAACAAAUCUUCUUAGAGGGACAGGCGG
This 821-nucleotide ribosomal RNA is filed under the name uncultured eukaryote. RNAcentral's name for it is "SSU rRNA". It matches the Rfam family "Eukaryotic small subunit ribosomal RNA", at positions 629 to 1426 of the family's 1831-position model. The record is from RNAcentral.